GAACCCUCGGGACCCCGCCUGGCGAUUGCCAGGCGGGGCCCCGGCGUUGGGGAUCGGCUGCCCCCCGCGGCUGCCGGCCCCGAAAUCUAGUGACGGUCUCACCGCAUACUCCUUUGCGUAGUAAAACACCUCGCACUGGACGGCUGGAGUGACCACGUCGUUAACCACCAACUUAUCAAGG
Molecule: unclassified non-coding RNA, 181 nt
Filed under: uncultured Stachybotrys
Lineage: Eukaryota; Fungi; Ascomycota
Description: sequence contains ITS2
Source: RNAcentral